RNAcentral lists this unclassified non-coding RNA (233 nucleotides) under Hevea brasiliensis (rubber tree). The record is from RNAcentral. Lineage: Eukaryota; Viridiplantae; Streptophyta; Magnoliopsida; Malpighiales; Euphorbiaceae.
GAAUAUUCGAACUCAGAUGCAGGUAUAUGUCUUGCUCAGUUCAUACCUCAACAAAGAUAUGCUUUGUUGUCAGUUGUCACUCGUUUGUUUCUGGGUUUUGAUAAACAGUGGACAUGUUCAGUGCAUGUCCAUGUGUGCUACAUGAUAUCAUAAUCCUGCUUCACUCAUGUCUAACAAAAUGCUUGUGCACGCAAAUUCUAACUGAUUUACAACAUUUUGUAAUAUUCUCUGGA